RNAcentral lists this ribosomal RNA (475 nucleotides) under uncultured fungus. RNAcentral describes it as "eukaryotic LSU rRNA". The stretch from base 170 to 323 matches the Rfam family "5.8S ribosomal RNA". Lineage: Eukaryota; Fungi. The record is from RNAcentral.
CAUUAAAGAAUCGCCCCGUUUUUUGAAAUGGGUUCUAUUCCCAAACCGUGUAUACAUACCUUUGUUGCUUUGGCAGGCCGCCUUUUAGGCGUCGGCUUCGGCUGACUGCGCCUGCCAGAGGACCCAAACUCGUUUGUUUAGUGAUGUCUGAGUACUAUAUAAUAGUUAAAACUUUCAACAACGGAUCUCUUGGUUCUGGCAUCGAUGAAGAACGCAGCGAAAUGCGAUAAGUAAUGUGAAUUGCAGAAUUCAGUGAAUCAUCGAAUCUUUGAACGCACAUUGCGCCCCUUGGUAUUCCGAGGGGCAUGCCUGUUCGAGCGUCAUUAUAACCACUCAAGCCUCGGCUUGGUCUUGGGGUUCGCGGUUCCGCGGCCCUUAAAAUCAGUGGCGGUGCCGUCUGGCUCUAAGCGUAGUAAUUCUCUCGCUAUAGGGUCCCGGCGGCUACCUGUCAAAACCCCCCCAUUUUUUACGGUUG